RNAcentral lists this unclassified non-coding RNA (638 nucleotides) under Hevea brasiliensis (rubber tree). Lineage: Eukaryota; Viridiplantae; Streptophyta; Magnoliopsida; Malpighiales; Euphorbiaceae. The record is from RNAcentral.
GGCCCCGGCGUCGUCGAGGGUUACUCGGAGUUCUGCUCGGCUAGCGGCGAACUCCAAAGCUGAUUCGGCGGUGGAUGAGGCUGUGACGGAGGUGCCGAAGAGUAAGAAGGCGAAACGUGCUCCGAAGGAGAAUGGGAAGGUGGUGGAAGUUGAAAAGGAGACGGUGAAAGUUGAUCCUGCUUUGGAGAAACUUGGCAAGGAUGCGAAGAAUAGAACGGUGGUGAUUGAACAUUGCAAACAGUGCCAAUCAUUCAAGAAAAGGGCAAUCCAGGUGCAAAAUGGUCUAGAGAAUGGUGUUCCUGGAAUCACUGUGCUGCUUAACCCUGAUAAGCCAAGAAGGGGUUGCUUUGAAAUCCGGACUGAAGAUGGCGAGAAGUUUAUUAGUCUUCUGGACAUGAAGCGUCCAUUUACUCGCAUGAAGGAACUGGACAUGGAAGAAGUCAUUUCAGAUAUCAUCAAGAAGAUAAAAGGAUGAUGAAACCCUUUGAUGAAAGAUUGCCUUCUAGGACGCAAUGGUUUUUUUGUGGUGGUUUGAAGCUAACCAACCAGAGUAGCAACUAUGAUGGUGGAAACAUAGCUAAUUGAUCAUUUGCCAAUGCCAAUAUUGUCCCCUCACUUGGCAUGACUGCAAUGGUAAA